UUUGAACCUGAAUCCGAUUUAGAUUAUCUUGUCUUGGCAUCGUAUUUGAACUCAUGGAUACCCUAAAAUAUUUGGACUUCCUUACUCAUUUUAACCACUCUUGUUAGUCCAAGUAGCUGACUCCCCUCAUUGGAGCAGUUAACCCCGACCCUAAACCUAAACCUUCUUUCAAGCCCUUUAUCACUUGUGAGUGUUUGUCAGGUCUUAUUCCGAUUGAGCUUGGUAGAAAUUGUUAGGUUCGUAACGAUAGAGAUAGUGUCUCAUGUAGUUCUAGUUCGCGUUUUCAGGACUGGAUAUGACUAGGUGGGCA
RNAcentral lists this small RNA (310 nucleotides) under Arabidopsis thaliana (thale cress). RNAcentral describes it as "ATSL206750". Lineage: Eukaryota; Viridiplantae; Streptophyta; Magnoliopsida; Brassicales; Brassicaceae. The record is from RNAcentral.